UGGGAGGUAGGACAAUGGGCUAGUCUACUACAUUUGGGAUGUAGAGGUUGCGAGUUCGAAUCUCGUCCUCCCAA
RNAcentral lists this transfer RNA (74 nucleotides) under Caudoviricetes sp. Its description in RNAcentral is "tRNA-Pro". It matches the Rfam family "tRNA". From Rfam's summary of the family: Transfer RNA (tRNA) molecules are approximately 80 nucleotides in length. Their secondary structure includes four short double-helical elements and three loops (D, anti-codon, and T loops). Further hydrogen bonds mediate the characteristic L-shaped molecular structure. tRNAs have two regions of fundamental functional importance: the anti-codon, which is responsible for specific mRNA codon recognition, and the 3' end, to which the tRNAs corresponding amino acid is attached (by aminoacyl-tRNA synthetases). tRNAs cope with the degeneracy of the genetic code in two manners: having more than one tRNA (with a specific anti-codon) for a particular amino acid; and 'wobble' base-pairing, i.e. permitting non-standard base-pairing at the 3rd anti-codon position. The record is from RNAcentral. Lineage: Duplodnaviria; Heunggongvirae; Uroviricota; Caudoviricetes.